This 84-nucleotide transfer RNA is filed under the name Nostoc sp. T09. RNAcentral describes it as "tRNA-Tyr". It matches the Rfam family "tRNA". From Rfam's summary of the family: Transfer RNA (tRNA) molecules are approximately 80 nucleotides in length. Their secondary structure includes four short double-helical elements and three loops (D, anti-codon, and T loops). Further hydrogen bonds mediate the characteristic L-shaped molecular structure. tRNAs have two regions of fundamental functional importance: the anti-codon, which is responsible for specific mRNA codon recognition, and the 3' end, to which the tRNAs corresponding amino acid is attached (by aminoacyl-tRNA synthetases). tRNAs cope with the degeneracy of the genetic code in two manners: having more than one tRNA (with a specific anti-codon) for a particular amino acid; and 'wobble' base-pairing, i.e. permitting non-standard base-pairing at the 3rd anti-codon position. Lineage: Bacteria; Bacillati; Cyanobacteriota; Cyanophyceae; Nostocales; Nostocaceae. The record is from RNAcentral.
GGGUCGGCUCGCCUACUGGUGUGGGCAACGGUCUGUAAAACCGCCGCGUUUGCGUUGCUGGUUCAAUUCCAGCCCGACCCAUCA